Molecule: unclassified non-coding RNA, 2877 nt
Filed under: Haliotis rufescens (red abalone)
Lineage: Eukaryota; Metazoa; Mollusca; Gastropoda; Lepetellida; Haliotidae
Description: sorting nexin-14-like, transcript variant X2
Source: RNAcentral
UCCGUCAACAUCUGGAGGAGGAGGGGGCAGAUCGAUCAGUUGUGAAACAUAUUAUGUGAAACUUAUUUCCUUCUUAAAUAUGAUACCAUGGUAUAUUUUAAAAUUUUACGCCCAGAAGCAUGUCAAGUUCACUUCUGGAACAGUUGUGUUGCUUAUUCUCACACUGAUCUUCUACAGCUAUCUGAAAUGGUUCCUGGCAGUAUGGUCAUUUGUGGUUGGCAUGGCAGUGACCUAUGUGUGUGUCAGUCCCAACACACUGCUGCCAAACCUGUUGCCUAUGUACAGCAGGAAGAAAAAGCUGUCCUCCCAGUCUGACGAGCUGACUCUCAUGAAGACAGUGUGUACUGUCUGCGGUCAGAGGAAGUGCCCCAGACACAGACCUGAGCUGAAUAUUCUGGCUUUUCAACCAUGGACCAACCUUGAGAUACGACAGAAAAUUGAUCAGUCCUUGGAAGAGUUUUUCAGUAUUAUUUUCAAGGAGUUUGUCUACACAUGGUAUAAGGACCUCAGCACAGAUGAGGAGUUUGCAGAUGAACUGCGGAGCAACAUCAGAUUUAUUGCAGCUGUGUUUCUACGCAGAGCUAAGAAGAUUGAUAUUCCUAACCUUGUAAUCCAUAAACUGGUGAAGGCAGCGAUAGAACACCUAGACUGCUGUAUACGGGCCAAGGUACAUGCUGAAGGUUCCACUGACUUUCAGCAGUGUGUGAUUGACUACCUGGGGCAAGACACUCACGUAGCAAUGUGGAGUCGUAAAGCAGAACUCGAGUAUCUCAGAAGAAUGGCAGAGAGUCUCUUCCCCUAUAUCCUCAGACCCCAGGCCCUGCACUCUAAAAGUACCUGUGCGCUGUUGAGGGAGAUGCUGGCAGGCUCAGUGCUGUUGCCUGCAGUAGAUGCUGUUGCUAACCCAGACCUGGUAAACAACUUGAUUCUCAUCUUCCUGGAUAAUACUCCUCCCCCUGUAGCCAAGGAGCCUCCAUCUCCCAUGGUGCCUUAUCUUGAGGCUUUUGCUCAGCCCCUCAACCAGAACAAAUCUUGUCUGCGCCUGGAGCUGAAGGAGGUUAUCAACAAGGACACCCCCGAGUUGCUGUACCCGUUCAUGCAGUUCCUCAAAAGCGAGGCAGCAGUCAAUGUUCUACAGUUCUGUCUAGCUUGUGAUGACUUCAAUGAGCGUAUCCUGAGUCCCAGUGUUUCCCAGAGUGAGUUAGUAGAGCUGCACAACAUGGCCAAGGAUCUCUACAACAGCUACUGUGCUCCCACUGCCUUGGAUAGGAUCAAGUUUGAUGAACAAAUUGUCAAAGAACUUGAAGGAGUCAUUAAAGGUCCUCCUGAUGGGGUGGUCAAACUGCGGACAUCCACACCACUCUUCAAGGCGUAUGAGCAUGCUUACAACCUGCUGGAAAACAACUUCCUUCCCUUGUUCCACCAGAGUGAUGACUAUUACCGCAUGGUGUGUGGAGGUCGGCCUGGAGCUCUCAGCAGGAACCAGUCAAGUAUGUUACCCCCCAGCUGUGCCCCAGCCCCAAGACAGGCAAAAAAGAAAGAAUUUGGACUCUCACACUUUGGCAAUAAACUGAAGGAGGUCUUCAAAACCUCAUCAGAGGACAAGACGGGAAGCAUGGACAGCCUCGACGACCUUGACCUUCCACCAGCUAUGACUUCAGCCACCAAUGUGGAUGAGGAGAUGGAUGACCCACUGGACCUACCAGACCCUCCCAAACAUGACCUGAGCACCUGGCGGGUCACUGUCCCUCGGAUCGGUGCUCGCCCAGACCCAGACAACCCUAAGAAACAGUUCUUUGUAUUCAUCAUUGAUGUCAGACGUGUUGAUGUACCGGAAGGUGUGUCUGAGAGGUCCAACUGGAUUGUAGCAAGACGCUACACAGAGUUCUAUGUGCUGGAGCAAAAGCUGGUAGAAUUCCAUGGAGAAUUUGACUGCCAGCUGCCUCCCAAAAAGACAUUUGGUACUAAAAACCAGGAAUUCAUUGAGGGAAGGAGAGAAGUCUUUGAGCUGUAUGUGCAGAAGCUACUGACAAAACCGCACCUUAAGGGGAGUGAACUGUUGAAGAGAUUUCUGUCUUCAGACAAGGAGGAGUUUACCACAGGCCUCUUCACUGACAUUAACUUAGGCAAACUUGUCAAGGCAAUGCCAAUGAAACUUGUCAAAGAGAGAGGUCAGCACCUUGACCCUUUCCUCCAGGCAUUUUUCCAGUCAACUGAGGCACCUCGUCCUCGGCCCAGUAAACUGGAAAGGAGAGGAUCUGAUGCUUCACAGAGGUCCACAUCCAGUGAGAAGAUGUACUCCUCCCUGUACGAGAACAACGCAGGGUGUGGCUUCAGCGGGAUGACACCCUCCACCGCAGCACCACCCAUUGUCACCAGGGAGGUGGAGGGUGUAUUUGAUUCCCUCAUCUAUGUGGCACGUCAUGUGUACAAGGUGCCAGCAUGGUUCCACCAUAUUUUGAUGACCAUAAAAAUUGUGGGCAAGAACACCAUUGAGUCUUACAUGGAGUGGUACCUGGACAACAAGAUCGAGAAGCUGAAGCAAGAACAUCGCGUUGUGAGCCUCAUACACCUGCUCAGAGACACCUUAUUCUAUGACACAGAUCCUCCAAGGAUUGUGAGCAUAUGCAGGAAGUACCAAUACCAAACCCACUUGUUCAUGAUUUGGACUUGUCUGACAUUGCCAAGGUCGGAUUCUAUUCAGGGAAUCAUCAUUGUUAAAAUGCAGGACUGAGGCCCAGAAGCGAGCUCGGUACAAGGAGGUAGUGGCUGGGAGUAUUGACUACAUUCCAAAAGCAUUUGCUGCAGUAAUUGGCACCAAGAGCCAUGUAGAAGGGACCAAGUUUAUACUGGAGUGUCUCCAACAACCCAAGCUCA